RNAcentral lists this ribosomal RNA (496 nucleotides) under uncultured bacterium. RNAcentral's name for it is "partial 16S ribosomal RNA". It matches the Rfam family "Bacterial small subunit ribosomal RNA", at positions 28 to 506 of the family's 1533-position model. The record is from RNAcentral.
GACGAACGCUGGCGGCGUGCCUAAUACAUGCAAGUUGAGCGAUGAAGAUUGGUGCUUGCCCCAAUUUGAAGAGCAGCGAACGGGUGAGUAACGCGUGGGGAAUCUGCCUUUGAGCGGGGGACAACAUUUGGAAACGAAUGCUAAUACCGCAUAACAACUUUAAACAUAAGUUUUAAGUUUGAAAGAUGCAAUUGCAUCACUCAAAGAUGAUCCCGCGUUGUAUUAGCUAGUUGGUGAGGUAAAGGCUCACCAAGGCGAUGAUACAUAGCCGACCUGAGAGGGUGAUCGGCCACAUUGGGACUGAGACACGGCCCAAACUCCUAAGGGAGGCAGCAGUAGGGAAUCUUCGGCAAUGGACGAAAGUCUGACCGAGCAACGCCGCGUGAGUGAAGAAGGUGUUCGGAUCGUAAAACUCUGUUGGUAGAGAAGAACGUGGGUGAGAGUGGAAAGCGCAUCAAGUGAGGGUAACGACCCAGAAAGGGACGGCUAACUACGG